GAGGCCUUAGCUUAAUUAAAGUGUCUGUGUUGCAGUCAGAGGAUGUAUUGUUUAAUUUACAGGUCUUC
RNAcentral lists this transfer RNA (68 nucleotides) under Cyrtodactylus chrysopylos. RNAcentral's name for it is "tRNA-Ala". Lineage: Eukaryota; Metazoa; Chordata; Lepidosauria; Squamata; Gekkonidae. The record is from RNAcentral. RNAcentral also lists the same sequence under 1 other name.